RNAcentral lists this ribosomal RNA (253 nucleotides) under uncultured bacterium. RNAcentral's name for it is "partial 16S ribosomal RNA". It matches the Rfam family "Bacterial small subunit ribosomal RNA", at positions 524 to 776 of the family's 1533-position model. The record is from RNAcentral.
UGCGUAGGGGGCUAGCGUUGUCCGGAAUCAUUGGGCGUAAAGCGCGUGUAGGCGGUCCGGUAAGUCCGCUGUGAAAGUCGGGGGCUCAACCCUCGAAUGCCGGUGGAUACUGUCGGGCUAGAGUGCGGAAGAGGCGAGUGGAAUUCCUGGUGUAGCGGUGAAAUGCGCAGAUAUCAGGAGGAACACCAAUUGCGAAGGCAGCUCGCUGGGACGUUACUGACGCUGAGACGCGAAAGCGUGGGGAGCAAACAGG